Anopheles arabiensis is the source of this 1329-nucleotide long non-coding RNA. RefSeq lists it as uncharacterized. Lineage: Eukaryota; Metazoa; Arthropoda; Insecta; Diptera; Culicidae. The record is from RefSeq and is a predicted model, not a curated record. The transcript is spliced from 4 exons.
AUAGCGCUCAGUGUGGUUGCGUUCAAUGCACCUCAUCCUCCGUUUCAUUUCAAACACUUUAUUGAACAUUUUUAUUAUUGAAUUCGAAAAGCAGACAACAUUCAAAUCGAAAAACCGUCCUAUAUCAACGAAAACGCCGAAAGAUAUCGUCUGCGCACAGCUCAAACGCGAUGCAUCUUACGUGCGUCAAAAACUCGAAACAAAGAACCGAUCGGCACUCUCGAGGGGAGGUAGGCAGAGAGAGAACAACUUGCAACCGCACCAGGGGGAAGAGUAAAUUGCACACCGAACACAACGUUGCAUCAUGUAGUUGGCCGUCGUCAUCUCGCGCCCCACAGCGGGUUUCUCACUCACGCAACCGCGUUUCCUCUCGACUUCCACAGCUUUUGGCCCACGGUGGCCAGGGGAAACUCAUUCCUCGCAGCGAACAAUCGAUGAUUGGAGCGGCACGAGGCUGCCCCUUUCGCUCUAAUAAUGCCAAAGCACACAAGCGACUCGUCACAAUCUCCUCCUCAGCGGGGUAACGGGGUAAACACAGCCCAACCAACGAAGUAGGCAUUCCCAAGAACAAAAGACACCUUCUGCUGCUGCUGCUACUUGGGUAGAAUGUAUCUCGUUGCCAAAGAGAUGAGGACUGUGUGCUUGUGUGGGAUGCAUCCAAGUAGCUUGGAAGUGGUUCUACUGGCGUGUGAGGUAGGGUCUGCUUUAACACCAAGUGUCCAAACCGUGUGUCUGUGUGGACAGGAAUUGGAUCCACACACCCGCAGCCCUUUGGGGCCGCACCACGAACGUGACCGCAGGGUGAACUCAAACGAAGAACAAUAUCAAACCUAACGAUUAGUGUGUGGGAGCCCCACCACUUGCUAUCAACCACAACAAAAACAACACACACACACAGCUGUGUGCUGGCCACAGCAGCGGCGCGUUCAGGUGUACGGCGGCGCUCGACUUGUCGUCCGUGAAGCGAUUUAACCUUGAACAGUGCGCGGAGAUGGAAGUCGAAUGGCACUGGGGGGGUAUGGAGGGACAGGGAGGAUGGAGCACUAACGACACAGGGUGAUGGUGGACGUGCACCACCGUAAAGCUGUGUUUCAACCCUCAAACCGCCCCCUGUGUAGUGUUCUGCCAGUGCUUGACCAGCUGCUCAUUUUCGCAUUCGAUGUCGUCUAACACACACGAAUAGAAUGAUAAUGUGACACACACGGUCGCAGUGGAAAAGCUUGCAAAAGUAGAGUGUUCUAGCGUUGGCAACAAGUUUGCGCUCGUGUCGUUUUUUUUCUCGUCUUUUACUUAAAACAAAUAAAAACAGUUAAAAGAACGGCCGCUAAA